CUGCAGCUAAUUAAGCUAACUAUGCUCUUUCUCCUUGGGGGCCCAGUGUACCAUGGCUGCAAACAGUAGCCUCCUUGGUAGUGUAUGCAGCCUGUUGAUGGUAUGGAUUGCCCUAACAGACCUUAGAGACAGCC
This is a small nucleolar RNA of Vulpes vulpes (red fox), 134 nucleotides long. Its record names the gene SNORA70. It matches the Rfam family "Small nucleolar RNA SNORA70". From Rfam's summary of the family: snoRNA U70 seems to be exclusive to mammals and is a member of the H/ACA class of snoRNA which contain H (ANANNA) and ACA box motifs. H/ACA box snoRNAs are involved in the conversion of uridines to pseudouridines (5-ribosyluracil) a constituent of structural RNAs (transfer, ribosomal, small nuclear, and small nucleolar). The record is from Ensembl. Lineage: Eukaryota; Metazoa; Chordata; Mammalia; Carnivora; Canidae.